Molecule: non-coding RNA, 95 nt
Organism: Cubamyces lactineus
Lineage: Eukaryota; Fungi; Basidiomycota; Agaricomycetes; Polyporales; Polyporaceae
Source: the annotation of a GenBank genome assembly
GGUUCGAUGGUGUAGUUGGUUAUCACGUCUGUCUCACAGUUCCUCUUGAAGGACAAGUGCACAGGAGGUCUCCGGUUCGAGCCCGGAUCGAACCA